This 3044-nucleotide ribosomal RNA is filed under the name Salmonella enterica. RNAcentral describes it as "bacterial LSU rRNA". It matches the Rfam family "Bacterial large subunit ribosomal RNA". Lineage: Bacteria; Pseudomonadati; Pseudomonadota; Gammaproteobacteria; Enterobacterales; Enterobacteriaceae. RNAcentral also lists the same sequence under 5 other names. The record is from RNAcentral.
GGUUAAGCGACUAAGCGUACACGGUGGAUGCCCUGGCAGUCAGAGGCGAUGAAGGGCGUGCUAAUCUGCGAUAAGCGCCGGUAAGGUGAUAUGAACCGUUAUAACCGGCGAUACCCGAAUGGGGAAACCCAGUGUGACUCGUCACACUAUCAUUAACUGAAUCCAUAGGUUAAUGAGGCGAACCGGGGGAACUGAAACAUCUAAGUACCCCGAGGAAAAGAAAUCAACCGAGAUUCCCCCAGUAGCGGCGAGCGAACGGGGAGGAGCCCAGAGCCUGAAUCAGCAUGUGUGUUAGUGGAAGCGUCUGGAAAGGCGCGCGAUACAGGGUGACAGCCCCGUACACAAAAGCGCAUGUGCUGUGAGCUCGAUGAGUAGGGCGGGACACGUGGUAUCCUGUCUGAAUAUGGGGGGACCAUCCUCCAAGGCUAAAUACUCCUGACUGACCGAUAGUGAACCAGUACCGUGAGGGAAAGGCGAAAAGAACCCCGGCGAGGGGAGUGAAAAAGAACCUGAAACCGUGUACGUACAAGCAGUGGGAGCCCCACCACCAAAGCAUUUGCUGUACCGCGUUGACGGAGCGAAGCGACGUCAAACCGAUAAAACAGCAGUGUAAAGUGAGCCGCAGGGCGCUUUGCGCGACAGCGCAAAGGCAGGCGGUUUCGCGUAGCGAAAGCGAAUGCUUUGGGGUGGGGUGACUGCGUACCUUUUGUAUAAUGGGUCAGCGACUUAUAUUCUGUAGCAAGGUUAACCGAAUAGGGGAGCCGGAGGGAAACCGAGUCUUAAUUGGGCGUUAAGUUGCAGGGUAUAGACCCGAAACCCGGUGAUCUAGCCAUGGGCAGGUUGAAGGUUGGGUAACACUAACUGGAGGACCGAACCGACUAAUGUUGAAAAAUUAGCGGAUGACCUGUGGCUGGGGGUGAAAGGCCAAUCAAACCGGGAGAUAGCUGGUUCUCCCCGAAAGCUAUUUAGGUAGCGCCUCGUGAAUUCAUCUCCGGGGGUAGAGCACUGUUUCGGCUAGGGGGCCAUCCCGGCUUACCAACCCGAUGCAAACUGCGAAUACCGGAGAAUGUUAUCACGGGAGACACACGGCGGGUGCUAACGUCCGUCGUGAAGAGGGAAACAACCCAGACCGCCAGCUAAGGUCCCAAAGUCAUGGUUAAGUGGGAAACGAUGUGGGAAGGCCCAGACAGCCAGGAUGUUGGCUUAGAAGCAGCCAUCAUUUAAAGAAAGCGUAAUAGCUCACUGGUCGAGUCGGCCUGCGCGGAAGAUGUAACGGGGCUAAACCAUGCACCGAAGCUGCGGCAGCGACACUGUGUGUUGUUGGGUAGGGGAGCGUUCUGUAAGCCUGUGAAGGUGUGUCGUGAGGCAUGCUGGAGGUAUCAGAAGUGCGAAUGCUGACAUAAGUAACGAUAAAGCGGGUGAAAAGCCCGCUCGCCGGAAGACCAAGGGUUCCUGUCCAACGUUAAUCGGGGCAGGGUGAGUCGACCCCUAAGGCGAGGCCGAAAGGCGUAGUCGAUGGGAAACGGGUUAAUAUUCCCGUACUUGGUGUUACUGCGAAGGGGGGACGGAGAAGGCUAUGUUGGCCGGGCGACGGUUGUCCCGGUUUAAGCGUGUAGGUGUGUGUUCCAGGUAAAUCCGGUUCACUUUAACACUGAGGCGUGACGACGAGGCACUACGGUGCUGAAGCAACAAAUGCCCUGCUUCCAGGAAAAGCCUCUAAGCAUCAGGUAACAUCAAAUCGUACCCCAAACCGACACAGGUGGUCAGGUAGAGAAUACCAAGGCGCUUGAGAGAACUCGGGUGAAGGAACUAGGCAAAAUGGUGCCGUAACUUCGGGAGAAGGCACGCUGACACGUAGGUGAAGUGAUUUACUCAUGGAGCUGAAGUCAGUCGAAGAUACCAGCUGGCUGCAACUGUUUAUUAAAAACACAGCACUGUGCAAACACGAAAGUGGACGUAUACGGUGUGACGCCUGCCCGGUGCCGGAAGGUUAAUUGAUGGGGUCAGCGCAAGCGAAGCUCCUGAUCGAAGCCCCGGUAAACGGCGGCCGUAACUAUAACGGUCCUAAGGUAGCGAAAUUCCUUGUCGGGUAAGUUCCGACCUGCACGAAUGGCGUAAUGAUGGCCAGGCUGUCUCCACCCGAGACUCAGUGAAAUUGAACUCGCUGUGAAGAUGCAGUGUACCCGCGGCAAGACGGAAAGACCCCGUGAACCUUUACUAUAGCUUGACACUGAACAUUGAGCCUUGAUGUGUAGGAUAGGUGGGAGGCUUUGAAGUGUGGACGCCAGUCUGCAUGGAGCCGACCUUGAAAUACCACCCUUUAAUGUUUGAUGUUCUAACGUGGACCCGUUACCCGGGUUGCGGACAGUGUCUGGUGGGUAGUUUGACUGGGGCGGUCUCCUCCUAAAGAGUAACGGAGGAGCACGAAGGUUGGCUAAUCCUGGUCGGACAUCAGGAGGUUAGUGCAAUGGCAUAAGCCAGCUUGACUGCGAGCGUGACGGCGCGAGCAGGUGCGAAAGCAGGUCAUAGUGAUCCGGUGGUUCUGAAUGGAAGGGCCAUCGCUCAACGGAUAAAAGGUACUCCGGGGAUAACAGGCUGAUACCGCCCAAGAGUUCAUAUCGACGGCGGUGUUUGGCACCUCGAUGUCGGCUCAUCACAUCCUGGGGCUGAAGUAGGUCCCAAGGGUAUGGCUGUUCGCCAUUUAAAGUGGUACGCGAGCUGGGUUUAGAACGUCGUGAGACAGUUCGGUCCCUAUCUGCCGUGGGCGCUGGAGAACUGAGGGGGGCUGCUCCUAGUACGAGAGGACCGGAGUGGACGCAUCACUGGUGUUCGGGUUGUCAUGCCAAUGGCACUGCCCGGUAGCUAAAUGCGGAAGAGAUAAGUGCUGAAAGCAUCUAAGCACGAAACUUGCCCCGAGAUGAGUUCUCCCUGAGACUUAGAGUCUCCUGAAGGAACGUUGAAGACGACGACGUUGAUAGGCCGGGUGUGUAAGCGCAGCGAUGCGUUGAGCUAACCGGUACUAAUGAACCGUGAGGCUUAACCUU